ACGAAUUAGGAUUUUGGAAUCACGUUCUAUUGGAACUAGAAAGCAAAUCCUAAAUUCUUAAUUCUACUCCUAGCCCACUUGAAAAGCCCAACCAUUAAAACCCAAAAGAACUCAAACCCUCACCCAAAACAAAUUCACGUAAAAAGAAAAAUCAAGCCUCCUCUCCCUCCUUCAACUCCACGUACAGCAUCCUCCCUGCAGUUUUCUCUCCUCCCUUCGUCCGCCGCUUCUGCCCAGCCACCGGACAACCAUCACCGCCGCACCACCAGUGCACGCAACAACCAGCCCUGUCGCCUGUUCCUAGCCGCCACCUACUCGCGCCGCCGGUCUAUCGCAUUAUAUUUCCCGCCAUCGCACGACCCAGCCGCGUCGACGACAACCAUCAACCCAGCCGCUGCCGCGCCGCCGUCCCCGGACCGCCGGCCGCCCACUCUUCCUCUUCUUUUGGCGGAGAAUUCUCUUUAGGCGACUUUUGAAAGUGUUAAGGUGGCCUAUCAGUUUGUUUACACAAGUCUCUAAGGAUCAAUAAGCGUUGCCCAUCUACAGGUUUGAAGAUGAUGCAUCAUUGGGAUCGGGAUUAGAGAGCUUGUAGUUCUAUUUGUUUAGUUAAGUGAUUCAAUUUGUUAACUUGGAUUUGAAACUUGUCGUACUAUUCGUAUUUCCUUAUUUUCGUUUAUUGGUUUUUGGGAUUAAACCUGUAAUCAAUUACUUAUAAACCUCAAAUUAGUUUUAUGUUUUCCGCUGCAAAAUUCUGAAUAAGCCGUUACGUUUUCACACGGGCGAUAAUGCCUUGAUAAUUCUCUAUAUUUUAUAU
Long non-coding RNA from Spinacia oleracea (spinach), 814 nucleotides. RefSeq lists it as uncharacterized. NCBI's taxonomy places the organism in Eukaryota, Viridiplantae, Streptophyta, Magnoliopsida, Caryophyllales, Amaranthaceae. The transcript is spliced from 5 exons. The record is from RefSeq and is a predicted model, not a curated record.